Molecule: ribosomal RNA, 539 nt
Filed under: uncultured Pedobacter sp.
Lineage: Bacteria; Pseudomonadati; Bacteroidota; Sphingobacteriia; Sphingobacteriales; Sphingobacteriaceae
Description: bacterial SSU rRNA
Rfam family: Bacterial small subunit ribosomal RNA
Source: RNAcentral
UGGCGUACGGGUGCGUAACGCGUAUGCAACCUACCUUCAUCAGGGGGAUAGCCCUCGGAAACGGGGAUUAACACCGCAUAAAAACACAACCUGGCAUCAGGAAAUGUUCAAAUAUUUAUAGGAUGAAGAUGGGCAUGCGUGUCAUUAGCUAGUUGGCGAGGUAACGGCUCACCAAGGCGACGAUGACUAGGGGAUCUGAGAGGAUGACCCCCCACACUGGUACUGAGACACGGACCAGACUCCUACGGGAGGCAGCAGUAAGGAAUAUUGGUCAAUGGAGGCAACUCUGAACCAGCCAUGCCGCGUGCAGGAAGACAGCCCUAUGGGUCGUAAACUGCUUUUAUACGGGAAUAAACCUUGAUUCGUGAAUCGAGCUGAAUGUACCGUAAGAAUAAGGAUCGGCUUACUCCGUGCCAGCAGCCGCGGUAAUACGGAGGAUCCAAGCGUUAUCCGGAUUUAUUGGGUUUAAAGGGAGCGUAGGCGGCUUGUUAAGUCAGGGGUGAAAGACGGUGGCUCAACCAUCGCAGUGCCUUUGAUAC